Molecule: ribosomal RNA, 360 nt
Filed under: uncultured bacterium
Lineage: Bacteria
Description: partial 16S ribosomal RNA
Rfam family: Bacterial small subunit ribosomal RNA
Source: RNAcentral
CCUACGGGGGGCAGCAGUGAGGAAUCUUGGUCAAUAGACGAGAGUCUGAACCAGCCAAGUAGCGUGAAGGAUGACUGCCCUAUGGGUUGUAAACUUCUUUUAUAUGGGAAUAAAACAGGGUAUGCAUACCCUCUUGUAUUUACCAUAUGAAUAAGGAUCGGCUAACUCCGUUCCAGCAGCCGCGGUAAUACGGAGGAUCCGAGCGUUAUCCGGAUUUAUUUGGUUGAAAGGGAGCGUAGGUGGAUUGUUAAGUCAGUUGUGAAAGUUAUCGGCUCAACCGUAAAAUUGCAGUUGAUACUGGCAGUCUUGAGUACAGUAGAGGUGGGCGGAAUUCGUGGUGUAGCGGUGAAAUGCUUAGAU